This is a non-coding RNA of Helianthus annuus (common sunflower), 352 nucleotides long. The record is from Rfam. Lineage: Eukaryota; Viridiplantae; Streptophyta; Magnoliopsida; Asterales; Asteraceae.
UGCAAUAGUAAGGACCUUUCCCUAGUACGAGAGGACCGGGAAGGACGCACCUCUGGUGUACCAGUUAUCGUGCCCACGGUAAACGUUGGGUAGCCAAGUGCGGAGCGGAUAACUGCUGAAAGCAUCUAAGUAGUAAGCCCACCCCAAGAUGAGUGCUCCCCUAUUCCAACUUCCCCAGAGCCUCCGGUAGCACAGCCGAGACAGCGACGGGUUCUCUGCCCCUGCGGGGAUGGAGCGACAGAAGUUUUGAGAAUUCAAGAGAAGGUCACAGCGAGACGAGCCGUUUAUCAUUACGAUAGGUUUCAAGUGGAAGUGCAGUGAUGUAUGCAGCUGAGGCAUCCUAACAGACCGG